AAUCCGUGUAUCAUUCGUUCUUUCGUUUUUCAACUGCCAUUCGAAAACAAAAAAUUAAAAAGGAGACUGACAAUUUCGUUUUUCGUUUUCUUAAUCCAACAUGAAAAACGAAUAGAUGCCUGUUUUUUCAUAUUUCGAUUUUAGGCUCAGAUCAAAAGUACGAAACGGAAAAACGGGCCACUGGACUGAAUUAGAUUUUUAUAAUUAAUUGUUUGCAUUUACGUGACCCGGAAGUUCUGUAGGCUAAUGAGAAUUACCAGCAUACUACGAGAGGUACCUAUCGCAGCCAUGGAUAGCUAUGUCUUGUUUCGAGGAGCCAAGCGUGUCACCCUGAAGGAGGAGGACAUGAAUGCUGACAAAAUCAGCAGAAUUUUCCAGGUCUCGUGGUUGAGCCCAUGGUGUCAUCGUGUUGCCACAGCAUUGUUGGCUGCAGGAUCUGCAUUGAACAAUGGCAGAAAAAUUCUACAACUUGCCCAAAAUGUCGAGGGGAUGAGUUUGACCUCAAUAUGCAAAAACUCUCCGGACUGUCUGAUGCAUUGGCUGUGCUGGAAAACACACUCUACUAGUUAAA
Hippocampus comes (tiger tail seahorse) is the source of this 571-nucleotide long non-coding RNA. RefSeq lists it as uncharacterized. The transcript has 2 exons. The record is from RefSeq and is a predicted model, not a curated record. NCBI's taxonomy places the organism in Eukaryota, Metazoa, Chordata, Actinopteri, Syngnathiformes, Syngnathidae.